Molecule: ribosomal RNA, 492 nt
Filed under: uncultured bacterium
Lineage: Bacteria
Description: partial 16S ribosomal RNA
Rfam family: Bacterial small subunit ribosomal RNA
Source: RNAcentral
AGUGAACGCUGGCGGUAGGCCUAACACAUGCAAGUCGAACGGCAGCACAGUAAGAGCUUGCUCUUACGGGUGGCGAGUGGCGGACGGGUGACGAAUACAUCGGAAUCUACUUUUUCGUGGGGGAUAACGUAGGGAAACUUACGCUAAUACCGCAUACGACCUACGGGUGAAAGCAGGGGAUCUUCGGACCUUGCGCGAUUGGAUGAGCCGAUGUCGGAUUAGCUAGUUGGCGGGGUAAAGGCCCACCAAGGCGACGAUCCGUAGCUGGUCUGAGAGGAUGAUCAGCCACACUGGAACUGAGACACGGUCCAGACUCCUACGGGAGGCAGCAGUGGGGAAUAUUGGACAAUGGGCGCAAGCCUGAUCCAGCCAUACCGCGUGGGUGAAGAAGGCCUUCGGGUUGUAAAGCCCUUUUGUUGGGAAAGAAAAGCAGCAGGUUAAUACCCCGCUGUUCUGACGGUACCCAAAGAAUAAGCACCGGCUAACUUCGUG